Thalassophryne amazonica is the source of this 427-nucleotide long non-coding RNA. RefSeq lists it as uncharacterized. The record is from RefSeq and is a predicted model, not a curated record. The transcript is spliced from 2 exons. Lineage: Eukaryota; Metazoa; Chordata; Actinopteri; Batrachoidiformes; Batrachoididae.
UGACAACCUCAGCAAACUGGAAAUGCCAUUGCGUCACUUCCUGUCCUGGCGAGGAAAACAAAUGUGCGGAGAAUUUAGUAAUCAUAGUAUUUUUGUGUAGCUUUGUUACAAAGUACAAGUAAUAAUGAGUCAGAGUUGACCAGUUUUGGAAGCACCAGCCAGCGUGACGUCAAUCGGGAGGCUGUUGACCUCUGACCUGACACGAUAACCUCGAUGAGGUCUCCAUCCUGCAGCUCAUCGGCGUCUGUCAGGCGUUGCAGCAGCUGUUCAGAGGCGGGUUGAUGUCUGAAGAGGAGGAGCUUCUCGCCGACGCCCACCACGCUGCAGUCUGGAGCCUGAAGACAGAAGAAGACAUUUAUUCCGGAAGAUAAAACCAGCUAAUCCUAAUAUGAAAGCCAAUACAUGGAAAAAUAAAAAUAAAACCAUC